UGAGGAAUAUUGGUCAAUGGACGAGAGUCUGAACCAGCCAAGUAGCGUGCAGGAUGACGGCCCUAUGGGUUGUAAACUGCUUUUGUUUGGGAAUAAUCGACAUUACGUGUAAUGUUUUGCAUGUACCAUUCGAAUAAGGACCGGCUAAUUCCGUGCCAGCAGCCGCGGUAAUACGGAAGGUUCGGGCGUUAUCCGGAUUUAUUGGGUUUAAAGGGAGCGUAGGCCGUUUGGUAAGCGUGUUGUGAAAUGUAGGAGCUCAACUUCUAGAUUGCAGCGCGAACUGUCAGACUUGAGUGCGCACAACGUAGGCGGAAUUCAUGGUGUAGCGGUGAAAUGCUUAGAUAUCAUGACGAACUCCGAUUGCGCAGGCAGCUUACGGGAGCGCAACUGACGCUGAAGCUCGAAGGUGCGGGUAUCGAACAGG
This 424-nucleotide ribosomal RNA is filed under the name Verrucomicrobiota bacterium. Its description in RNAcentral is "Verrucomicrobia bacterium partial 16S ribosomal RNA". It matches the Rfam family "Bacterial small subunit ribosomal RNA", at positions 355 to 776 of the family's 1533-position model. The record is from RNAcentral. Lineage: Bacteria; Pseudomonadati; Verrucomicrobiota.